UACGUAGGGAGCAAGCGUUGUCCGGAUUUACUGGGUGUAAAGGGUGCGUAGGCGGCUUUGCUAGUCAGAAGUGAAAUCCAUGGGCUUAACCCAUGAACUGCUUUUGAAACUGCAGAGCCUGAGUGGAGUAGAGGUAGGCGGAAUUCCCGGUGUAGCGGUGAAAUGCGUAGAGAUCGGGAGGAACACCAGUGGCGAAGGCGGCCUACUGGGCUCUAACUGACGCUGAGGCACGAAAGCGUGGGUAGCAAACAGG
This 253-nucleotide ribosomal RNA is filed under the name uncultured bacterium. Its description in RNAcentral is "partial 16S ribosomal RNA". It matches the Rfam family "Bacterial small subunit ribosomal RNA", at positions 524 to 776 of the family's 1533-position model. The record is from RNAcentral.